Gallus gallus (chicken) is the source of this 2059-nucleotide long non-coding RNA. The record is from Ensembl. NCBI's taxonomy places the organism in Eukaryota, Metazoa, Chordata, Aves, Galliformes, Phasianidae.
UUUUCUUGGACCUAGGCUGCAUCCUUGAGGGAGUGCUGCAUAGCCAUUGAGCUCCUUCACCAGCUGGAAGCUGCAAUACAUCUGAAAUGAGACAAAACUUGUUUGGAAAAAGAAGGGAGAGAGAUGGCUUCCUGAAUUCAUACUGGAUAACGAUUAUAUAGAAAAUAUUUAUUUGAAAGACAAAAUCUACCCAAGAUUCAAACUGCUAAUAGAAAUUUCAUCAAGAUUCAAAAUGGCUUAUAAAUAUUUCUUGAAGCUUUCCUUUUGUUGGCAAAAUAUCUGAGUUUUCAUGUGUAGACAAAAAUGAAGAAUCUGUAUUUCACACAUAAAAAAAUCUGCGUCAAUUUUUGAGAAACACACGCAAUAGGUAACAGCAGAUGACAGUCUGGCAAAAUGGCAUCUGAUAUGGAAAUAUGGAUGAAGAAAAGAUGUGUCAUUGAAUUCCUCCGUGCAAAAUGAAUGGCAACACUGACAUUCAUUGACACUUGCUGAACAUUUGUAGAGACCAAACAGUGGAUGUGAGCACAGUGAGGCAGUGGGUGGUGCAUUUCAGCACUGACAACAGUGACAGUGCUUCACCUUCACAGGCACAGAUUCUCAUGAGCAUGGCAUGCAGGCUCUUGUUCCUUGCUUGAGAGAAUGUAUAGCAAAUGGUGGUGACUAUAUUUUGAAUUUGAGAAUUUGCUGUAUCAAAUAGUGCUAUCGUGCUCUUGGUUUCUGUUGUAGUUGCCAUGGAAAAAAAACAGGAGGCAUUACUUUCAGAGCAACCUAGAUUCAGUGGGGAAAAUGCAAAGUAUCUUCUGGUGCUGCUUCACAUGUGUUAUCUAGUGCAGUCUUCUGCCCUAGAAUUUAGGAAUGGUUAUUGGUCCUGAAAUUGUAAAAGCUAUUUUUAUCUGAAAGGUGUAAUAUGAAUUCAAUUGACAGGUUUGGAAUUUUCUUACAAUUAUUAAAUCUUCACUUUAUAAGUUAUAUCAAUCUGAUAAGGUGCUCAAUAAGGCUAAAGGAAGCUUAUUGCUGUCCAGGUGCCCCACAAACAUUGCAAUGUUACAUACCAGAAUAAGGACACUUUCCAUAUUAUUUUAGGAAACAGAUUUCAAUUUUUAGCAAUGCAGUGAAGUUGUGGAGAAAGUUAUGUUAAUUUUCAGAUAUCUUUUCUGAAGAUUCAGGGCUCUUUCAAUCCAUUAUACAGUAAGUAGCAUUCAGUUUGAUUCACAAUAGUAAUGAAAUUCGAUGUGUUUUUUGCAAGAAGUACAUAACAAAUUUAAUACUGAAUGUCUCCUGGAAAAAAAAAAAAAAGAAAGAAAAAAAAACAUUUUCUGGAUUUCAAAAUAAAUAAUAUUCUUUUAUUUCAAUAGCAUUUUGAUAUCUUCUCAAGAAGUCUAUAAGAAUAUAUCACAUCCAGCUACACUGGAAUAAGGAGUGAAGGAGUGAAAGGUGGUUGAAGAUCUGCAAGUAAGAGAUAAAAAUGGAUGAUAAAACAGUGAGACAUCAGGGUGAAUGAAGGAGAUGCUAUAACAAAGAUAUGUAUAUAUUUCUUUGUCUCAUUCAGUAGAAGUGAAUAAAAUGAAAAAGAGUUGGGAAAAUCAAGUCCUGUAAAGUCUGUGGAAAAAUAUAUCAGUAACACCGCAAUUUGAGUUAUGCCACUAUUCCAGUGGAACCUAAGCUAUUGAAGUAUCUCCAUGAAAUACCCAGAAGGAGUAAGAAAGUUCAUGCCAAUGCUCCCAGCUGUGUGUAAUAUUGCUGCAUGUUAAUCAGGGUUUCUCAGACUUCUGUAGAAUUGUGGGGUAUGAGUAGAAAAGGAAAGUGAGGAUAAGUGAAUUGACACAGCUCAAGCAAUGCUGAGUUAUUUCUCCUUCAGCCUGCCAUUCUUAGAAAUUAAUAACAGACCCAUAAUCUUCAAGAUUUACAGUAAUGUCUGGACUGCUCUGUGACCAGAGUUGAAAAUAAGAAUGCCUCUAUUCUGUGCAUGCAUUGCACUCAAAUCAUGUGCUGUAUGUUCUGUGCUAGGUGAUGUAAAUGAGCGUGUUUAUUUUAAGACAUGAAUAAAUAAUAUUGUUUC